RNAcentral lists this transfer RNA (69 nucleotides) under Ictidomys tridecemlineatus (thirteen-lined ground squirrel). RNAcentral's name for it is "Spermophilus tridecemlineatus (thirteen-lined ground squirrel) tRNA". It matches the Rfam family "tRNA". Rfam says of the family: Transfer RNA (tRNA) molecules are approximately 80 nucleotides in length. Their secondary structure includes four short double-helical elements and three loops (D, anti-codon, and T loops). Further hydrogen bonds mediate the characteristic L-shaped molecular structure. tRNAs have two regions of fundamental functional importance: the anti-codon, which is responsible for specific mRNA codon recognition, and the 3' end, to which the tRNAs corresponding amino acid is attached (by aminoacyl-tRNA synthetases). tRNAs cope with the degeneracy of the genetic code in two manners: having more than one tRNA (with a specific anti-codon) for a particular amino acid; and 'wobble' base-pairing, i.e. permitting non-standard base-pairing at the 3rd anti-codon position. The record is from Rfam by way of RNAcentral. Lineage: Eukaryota; Metazoa; Chordata; Mammalia; Rodentia; Sciuridae.
GAGAUUGUGGCUCAGCGGUAGAGCGCUCGCCUAGCACGUGUGAGGCCCUGGGUUGGAUCCUCAGCAUCA